AGCACGUGUGACAAACAUACUUGCAUAAAUUUCACGGUGAGUAAAAACAGGACUACAUGCCCCUCUGUCAGCCCUCUCCUUCCUCUGCAGGUUACCAUAGCAGCAGCGAGUGUGUGACAGUCAUGUGAAAACGAAGCUGAUUGGAUUAAAAUACUUUGUGUGAUCAGAGGUCAGGAAUAUGGCACAUGUACUAAACACACAUCGCCCGAUUUAAACACACACACACGCGCACGCACAACCGAGACAGGUAGAAAGGUCAGUGCCGUUUGCAACACUUAUCGGUUUUCAAGAACAAAAACUAACAUUGUGUGAGCCUGCCAGCUCAUCUUUACCCUAUCUUGAUUAAAUUUCCUGUCAAAGACACAUACAGAACCACAAGACCGUCCACCCACACUCCACUCUUUUGUAAUCUUAAAGAAACAGGACAUUAAAAUGACGUGACCUCAACCUUCAACUUCAGCCACUUCGUGUCAAAGUCACAGGAAACAGUGAAGCAUGAAAUUCAGACACGGCGCGUUUCAGUCGUGUUUCUGCCCCACUGACUUCGCCACAUUAGCUUUCAACUUUCACUGAAACAAAUACGCACUUGGUUAAAAAUUCAUUUUGUAUAUCGUGGAUCGGACAAAGAUACGGGACAUUACUGAUUGAAGCAAAAGAUUUCUGAUGCCAUUGCCACCACUGAUGAGGUUAUGCCACAGCGAACAUGGCAAGAAAUCGGGUACCGCCUUGAUGUGAUUCGUGCAACUAAUGGUGCUCAUAUAGAGGUGUAUUCAGUGAGGUAUAAAAAACUUUGACAACCACUGAUUACAAUAAAACAAAUCUGACUUUAUGAACACCCUGUAUAUGGGGGAAAAUAUCAAGAGAUAGGGUUCUUCCUCUGGGGACACUAAAUAUUUGCACUGAAUUUUACUGUAGUUCAUUGAAUAGUUGCAAUUGAUAUAUUGUAGUCUGCACUCAAAGUAGUGAGCUGACUGAAGGACUGGCAUCCCUUGGGCAUUGCUGCUUACAUGGCUAAAAAUAACACAUCUCCUUGUCUUGAGAGGUUUUCUACACGUAUGCAGUGGGUAUGGUCAAACCAGUUACUGCACUGGUACUAUUUUGACCCCAGUUGAGUCCGCUUUGAACUAUUUAAUGGUCAUUUAUUUCAUAAUUGAAGUAGGUACAAGAACUAUCAAGACACCCUAUGGUGAAAAUCAAGUUUUUUAUUUUGUUGACAUGUCCAUUUGGGUUUUUAUAUGUGCUAGAUGACAUAUAUUAUGAGCAAAAGCAUCAGUUCACGCCAUAGCUGUGCAUUUCUGCCUUGAAGCUGUAGCUUACAGAUACAGAAACAUGGAUUCAGACAGCUACGGUUUCAUACGUAACAAAUGUCAGCUUAGAUUGUGGGGUUUUCCAUAUUAUUGUUCUGUUUAGGGUUGAUUUCGGGUUCGAACAUUCGUGGCUACAUUACUCCAGUAAUGUAAUUUGCCAUUAAGUAAGAGAUAGAGUAGUUUUACAGUGUUUCAGCAUAUUCAUAGGUGAGCUGGUGUGCUUGAAUUAUAGCAGGUGGGUGGACACUUCGUAGAUGUGCAUAUUAUAGAGGAAUUAAUGGUGUUAGGGAGGGGUUAUUGUCAUUUUAAAAAUUCUAACUUAUGCUAACUACCAAGAAAGAAACCUGAAUUCCUCACAUUGAACUGAUUCCCAGCAGUAGUGAAGUGCAAAUUAAAAACAUGACAGCUGUCUGCCAUGUUAUUUAUUCAGCAAUCAACACAUGCACAUGCAAUGUGUGAUUUGUUUUUACUUUAGUUUGCUGCUUUCUGGCGUUUUGACAGGGUUUGUGUGGAAGCUUGAGAUCAGUUUU
Molecule: long non-coding RNA, 1837 nt
Organism: Amphiprion ocellaris (clown anemonefish)
Lineage: Eukaryota; Metazoa; Chordata; Actinopteri; Pomacentridae
Source: Ensembl